RNAcentral lists this transfer RNA (72 nucleotides) under Curtobacterium sp. MCSS17_016. RNAcentral's name for it is "tRNA-Val". It matches the Rfam family "tRNA". Rfam says of the family: Transfer RNA (tRNA) molecules are approximately 80 nucleotides in length. Their secondary structure includes four short double-helical elements and three loops (D, anti-codon, and T loops). Further hydrogen bonds mediate the characteristic L-shaped molecular structure. tRNAs have two regions of fundamental functional importance: the anti-codon, which is responsible for specific mRNA codon recognition, and the 3' end, to which the tRNAs corresponding amino acid is attached (by aminoacyl-tRNA synthetases). tRNAs cope with the degeneracy of the genetic code in two manners: having more than one tRNA (with a specific anti-codon) for a particular amino acid; and 'wobble' base-pairing, i.e. permitting non-standard base-pairing at the 3rd anti-codon position. The record is from RNAcentral. Lineage: Bacteria; Bacillati; Actinomycetota; Actinomycetes; Micrococcales; Microbacteriaceae.
GGGCCUGUAGCUCAGAGGUAGAGCAACUGGUUUACACCCAGCGCGUCGGGGGUUCGAUCCCCUCCGGGCCCA